This 253-nucleotide ribosomal RNA is filed under the name uncultured bacterium. Its description in RNAcentral is "partial 16S ribosomal RNA". It matches the Rfam family "Bacterial small subunit ribosomal RNA", at positions 524 to 776 of the family's 1533-position model. The record is from RNAcentral.
UACGUAGGUGGCAAGCGUUGUCCGGAAUUAUUGGGCGUAAAGCGCGCGCAGGCGGUCCUUUAAGUCUGAUGUGAAAGCCCACGGCUCAACCGUGGAAGGUCAUUGGAAACUGGGGGACUUGAGUACAGAAGAGGAAAGCGGAAUUCCACGUGUAGCGGUGAAGUGCGCAGAUAUCAGGAGGAACACCGGUGGCGAAGGCGGGUCUCUGGGCCAUAACUGACGCUGAGGAGCGAAAGCGUGGGGAGCGAACAGG